AGCGGCGGACGGCUGAGUAACACGUUGGUACCUGCCCCAAACUCAGGGAUAACAAUUGGAAACGAUUGCUAAUACCGGAUAGUCCCGCAAGGGUAAAGAUUUAUCGGUUUGGGAGGGGCCUGCGGCUUAUCAGGUAGUUGGUAGUGUAAUGGACUACCAAGCCUAUGACGAGUAGCUGGUGUGAGAGCAUGACCAGCCAGAAUGGAACUGAGACACGGUCCAUACUCC
This 228-nucleotide ribosomal RNA is filed under the name uncultured bacterium. RNAcentral's name for it is "partial 16S ribosomal RNA". It matches the Rfam family "Bacterial small subunit ribosomal RNA", at positions 94 to 339 of the family's 1533-position model. The record is from RNAcentral.